UGCCGGCUAAAGUCGGAGGAAGGUGGGGAUGACGUCAAAUCAUCAUCGCCCCCUUUAUGACCGUGGGCUACACACGUGCUACAAUGGGCGGUACAAGGGUCGCGAACCCGCGAGGGGGAGCCAAUCCCAAAAAGCCGCUCUCAGUUCGGAUUGCAGGCUGCAACUCGCCUGCAUGAAGCCGGAAUCGCUAGUAAUCGCGGAUCAGCAUGCCGCGGUGAAUACGUUCCCGGGCCUU
This 235-nucleotide ribosomal RNA is filed under the name uncultured Anoxybacillus sp. RNAcentral's name for it is "partial 16S ribosomal RNA". It matches the Rfam family "Bacterial small subunit ribosomal RNA", at positions 1150 to 1382 of the family's 1533-position model. The record is from RNAcentral. Lineage: Bacteria; Bacillati; Bacillota; Bacilli; Caryophanales; Anoxybacillaceae.